UCAAACGCAUACUGUGCGAGGAGAUGACUGCGGCAGUCACACCCUGCACGUGAAAGAGAUAACACAGAAGAGUCCUUCCCUGAUGAUAAUAUUACAGCCAUUGCAUUCAUCUCCAUCUCAUCUGUAAGGGUCUUCAUACUGCGGAGAGGAGCAGAAGAACGCUGAGGGUCAAAGUCCUGACUUCAAGGAACGUCUGGGAUCUGCAUUAGGCCCUUGUCCUCCCCCACACUUAUACACACACUGCAGUUCCUGUACCUGGCUGCAGCUGUGGACAUCUUCAAAAUGGAUCCUGGAGGGUCGCAGGGGGGCUGGAGCCUAUCCCCCAGAUUGGGCGAAAGGCAGGAAUACACCCUGGACAGGUCGCCAGUCCAUCGCAGGGCACACACACCAUUCACUCACACACUCAGACCUACAGGCAAUUUUGAC
Long non-coding RNA from Conger conger (European conger), 426 nucleotides. RefSeq lists it as uncharacterized. The transcript has 3 exons. NCBI's taxonomy places the organism in Eukaryota, Metazoa, Chordata, Actinopteri, Anguilliformes, Congridae. The record is from RefSeq and is a predicted model, not a curated record.